CGUGGAUUAUUAGGAGAGGAGGACAACAUUGUGGGGAAUAGAUCGAUUCCGGGGUGAACCAAAACGGCGGACCCAUUACUCUGCGACAGAGAGAACCAAUAUGACAACCAUUCUCCUAUUUUUACAAUAAGAGGUUUGUGCUGAUUCAUCUAUCAUAUCAGCUGUUACAAGCUGAUUCUCCCUCUUUACUCCCAGUUUCCGAGAUAGGAGAGAAAAAAACUUUACUAGGUGACCUUUCUUUAUAGGUCGUGAUGGAGGAAAAUACGAUCACCCCAGCUGAAAUGAACAGCAUUGCUUACUUGAACAAGAAAAGAAAACUUCACGUUGAACUGCUUGGAGGGCCUUCACCAAAGCAUCUGUGCUGGGGCAAAAAGUUUGAAUAUGAAUCUUCAUCUGAUUCAGGCACUGAACCAAAGAAAGUGAGAAGUAUCAUACUUGCAAGAGGAGGUGAAUCAGAUCCAGAAUCUGCAAAAGAUAGCUGUAGCUUUCAUGGUGAUGUAGAUUCUAUUAUGUCUCCAUGUGAUGACGCUAAAACGUAUCUCUCAUAUUCAGAAACACGUGUGUCUGUCCAGCCUUGUACUUCAUCUGCUAGGUGGGGUGGCACCUCUUUUCAGAGCGGGCUUUAUUCUUUAGAGAGCAGAUCAGGAACAAAGUCAAGUUCCUGUAAAUCAGAGUCGUUAUCCAUCUGCGAAGAACUUGAAUAUCUCCAUAAUGAUUAUGCGACACUUCCGUCUGAUUAUUAUGAGGAUCACCUCAUAGAAUUCGGAAGUCAUGCUGAUUGCAGCUGCUCAGAAUACCAAAAUGAUGGCACUGAGCACCAUUGCAAUAAAGAUCUUGGCGAUCUGCUCUACUCAAGCGGCGUAGCUCCCAGUAAUUACGUUCUUUCAUCGGGAAGGUGGUCUGUUACUCAUGAUACUCAACCGGCCACCAGGAAACUAACAAUUGAUAAGGAGUUUGAACAGUAUUUUUCGAGUCUCAUGCUGUAACAUACAAUAUGGUGCAAUAUAAACAGAAAUUGUUGAACUAUGUCAUCUGUAGUCUUUAUGAUGUCCAGAACAAGAUCAAAGCUUUGAGAUUUCUCUCUUCACCAUUUGUUGUAUUGUAUGACUGAUGUAUCGGUGCUUAUCAAGUGCAGUUUUUUGCUUUUCCAUAUUACAUAAUCUGCCUGUUUUCUUUUUUGUGGAGUGUGAGAAACAGAUGCCCCUGUCACAAGAGGAGAAUGAAUAAUCUGACUUUUAAUAUCUAUUUCUGUUUUUGGUGCUGGGCUGAGAAACUAUUUAUCCUGUACAUUUCAAUCCAGCAUUUACUUUACAUUUUAAAUGUUGUUCCGGGAAACAUGUCGUUACUCAUUAGUAUGCCAUGAAACUUGUUGUUGCUAUGCUACUUAUGCCAUCCAACUUUUCAUGAGGAGGCUAAAGUGCUCGUUUGAGUCUUGGGCUGCUUCUGUAUACAAAUGCAGCUUUUCUGAGUCCCAGUCUGGUGUAUUCACAUGGAUUAAAAAAAUAGUCAUUUCUUGGUCAAAGUGGGAGGUGUCGUACCUAAGGGGUCAAAUCAAGUUUUUUUCCUGAACAGCACUAGCAACCAAAAUGAAAACAAAUAACAUUAGCCGGACGAAAAGGAUAGGUAAACUCAAAGGUCUGGAGUCCAUGGGAAUUCAGAUCUCUGUCAACACUUGGGAAGAUCAGAAGGCGGUGGUGGUAAUUUUUGACUUGGUAGCUGCCCAUCUAGUACAAUCCAGGCCAUUCUCAACCCCCAACUUGUGUGUACAUCAAAGUGGCAGUGCAUAAACCAUACUCCUGUUCAAAAUAUAAACCACAGGAUGCAAACUCAGGCAACAAUGAGAAAACAAGAAUGCCGAACAGCAAAAUUGCCGUUGUAGCAGUAGAAGAGACACGGCGAUGCAUGUUUUUUGGGGCUUUCUGCAGUGAUGAAAGGGAGAUGAUUAGGUGAUAAGAGUGCUGUCAUUAGGGAGGAACAAGGUCGUCGAAUGUUCAUGGGAUUUCAUUUUCCUGUUGAGUUGGAAUCUCCUUGUGCUCUCUGCUUUUCUGUUGGUCAAGCUGAAUUUUAGAGUGCUGCUAAAGUAAGACAAUGCUUACAUUUUCUGUCUAAUUCUGAUUAGCGAGAGGAUUUUGCUUUGUAAUUACAUAUAAUUCGUAUUGGAGAUUAAUCACUCAAGUUGAGUAUC
Sesamum indicum (sesame) is the source of this 2185-nucleotide non-coding RNA. The record is from RefSeq and is a predicted model, not a curated record. NCBI's taxonomy places the organism in Eukaryota, Viridiplantae, Streptophyta, Magnoliopsida, Lamiales, Pedaliaceae.